GCGGCUGUAGCUCAGUGGAUAGAGCAUUGGUCUUCGGAACCAAGGGCCGGGGGUUCGAGUCCCUCCAGCCGCGCCA
Molecule: transfer RNA, 76 nt
Filed under: Herpetosiphonaceae bacterium
Lineage: Bacteria; Bacillati; Chloroflexota; Chloroflexia; Herpetosiphonales; Herpetosiphonaceae
Description: tRNA-Arg
Rfam family: tRNA
About the family: Transfer RNA (tRNA) molecules are approximately 80 nucleotides in length. Their secondary structure includes four short double-helical elements and three loops (D, anti-codon, and T loops).
Source: RNAcentral